GAAACCCUGGUAAUGCCAUAGUUGCAUUAUAAACAGAAGAUUUAACCAGAGACUUUCAUUCUAUAUGGAGAUAAAAAAGAGUGCAGCAUGCUGUGUGAACAUCCAGGAGCAUCAGGGCAGAGCUUGCAAUCCUUCUAAAUAAGGGUGUGCUGUGUGGUUGGUGCUACAGUAUGGUAUACUUGGUAUGUUCAACCACAGGU
This is a long non-coding RNA of Danio aesculapii, 200 nucleotides long. RefSeq lists it as uncharacterized. The transcript is spliced from 3 exons. The record is from RefSeq and is a predicted model, not a curated record. Lineage: Eukaryota; Metazoa; Chordata; Actinopteri; Cypriniformes; Danionidae.